GACGAACGCUGGCGGCGUGCUUAACACAUGCAAGUCGGACGGAAAGGCCCUGCUUUUGUGGGGUGCUCGAGUGGCGAACGGGUGAGUAACACGUGAGUAACCUGCCCUUGACUUUGGGAUAACUUCAGGAAACUGGGGCUAAUACCGGAUAGGAGCUCCUGCUGCAUGGUGGGGGUUGGAAAGUUUCGGCGGUUGGGGAUGGACUCGCGGCUUAUCAGCUUGUUGGUGGGGUAGUGGCUUACCAAGGCUUUGACGGGUAGCCGGCCUGAGAGGGUGACCGGCCACAUUGGGACUGAGAUACGGCCCAGACUCCUACGGGAGGCGGCAGUGGGGAAUAUUGCACAAUGGGCGGAAGCCUGAUGCAGCAACGCCGCGUGCGGGAUGACGGCCUUCGGGUUGUAAACCGCUUUCGCCUGUGACGAAGCGUGAGUGACGGUAAUGGGUAAAGAAGCACCGGCUAACUACGUG
RNAcentral lists this ribosomal RNA (468 nucleotides) under uncultured bacterium. Its description in RNAcentral is "partial 16S ribosomal RNA". It matches the Rfam family "Bacterial small subunit ribosomal RNA", at positions 28 to 507 of the family's 1533-position model. The record is from RNAcentral.